Molecule: ribosomal RNA, 459 nt
Filed under: uncultured bacterium
Lineage: Bacteria
Description: partial 16S ribosomal RNA
Rfam family: Bacterial small subunit ribosomal RNA
Source: RNAcentral
CCUACGGGAGGCAGCAGUGAGGAAUAUUGGUCAAUGGGCGCGAGCCUGAACCAGCCAAGUCGCGUGAGGGAAGACGGUCCUAUGGAUUGUAAACCUCUUUUGUCGGGGAGCAAAAGCCGCCACGCGUGGCCUUCCGCGAGUACCCGACGAAAAAGCCUCGGCUAACUCCGUGCCCGCAGCCGCGGUAAUACGGAGGAUGCGGGCGUUAUCCGGAUUUAUUGGGUUUAAAGGGUGCGCAGGCGGAAGAUCAAGUCAGCGGUAAAAUUGAGGGGCUCAACCCCUUCGAGCCGUUGAAACUGGUGGUCUUGAGUGAGCGAGAAGUAUGCGGAAUGCGUGGUGUAGCGGUGAAAUGCAUAGAUAUCACGCAGAACUCCGAUUGCGAAGGCAGCAUACCGGCGCUCAACUGACGCUCAUGCACGAAAGUGUGGGGAUCGAACAGGAUUAGAUACCCGGGUAGUC